GUGCAAAAACAUAGACUGUGAUGUUGCAAACAUACUAACUGUUAUGUUAUAGUAUUACUACUAAAUCACAGUAUUUCUGCCAAUUCAAGGAGGCUGACUGUUACUAAGUGCAUCAGUGUACAUAGGUCAUCUGUUGUGUUGGAGUGCCCUCUUGUGGCGCCUUUUGGGUAGAGCCUUAGUAAACGUGAACACUGCAAAGAAGUGGUAUCAGACUGGUUUGUAGUGGAGGAAUUUGUUACCAGUUACUUUCAUCUUUAAUCCGUAUUCAUGUUGUAAUGUAGUAGUACCACAAUAUGGCAGAAACACUAUGUUUUGGCACAAAUACUUUGAUUUGGUAUACUUUAGCUUCUUCACCCCUUUUCAGCAAAAUUUUCAUUUUUUUCACCCCUUUUCAGCACAAAUUCCAGCUUUUUUGGCUGUUUUCAGAAAAAAAAAACUCUUUUCAGCAGAAACUCUGCUGAUUCAUCUCUUUUCAACGCAAAUUUCUGCUUCUUUGCCUCUUUUCUGCAGAAAUUCUGCUGAUCCACCUCUUUUCUGCAAAACUUUCAGCCUUUUCACCUGUUAUCAGCACAAUUCUCAGCAGCUUCUGCUCAUUUCAGCAGAAUUGUCCGUCUCUCCACAACAACGUUUUGCAACUUUUCAUCUUUUUCAGCUUUUCAGCAGACAGCUUCAGCGUCAAGGCAUCCACACAGCAUUUUCGCAGGAAAUGCAAAUUUUUUCUAGUUAUUAUUAUUCUCCAUCUUCCGCCUAAAUUUCGGCACGUAUCACGCCCCGCAGUUUUGAGAAAAGCUUCAUAUAUGUUACCUCAUUUUGUGCGGCCGGAUCUGGAAUGGUGUGCUAUGACUUUUGGUGUUUAUGAAUUUUAUAGUUUUUUAAAUAUUAAUAUUUUAGUGAAAAUUUUCCCGCGCUCCUCUGCCGAACAGUUUUGACAUUAGGGUUACAUAUGUUAGAUCAUUUUGUGCGGCUGGAGCUGGACUAUUAAUAUUUUAGUGCAAAUUUAGGCCAAUUCAUCUUUUGGCGCCAAAUAAACAGACUUCAUUUGUGGUGUGUUGGCGCCAUCUUUUGGUCCCAUUGAAACAAAUUUCAAACUUCAUUUGUGGUGUGUUGGCUCUCUCUAGUGGUAUGCCAGGAGUGGUACAGCCUGUCUACCCUUAUUUGGAUACCGUAAUGACGACAAUAUCAAUGGCGCGCACAGCCUCGCUGCUUUCAGGAACCAUUGGAGGUUUUAAGGUUGCGCGAACCAUUGAAUAGUUACGGUAAACACAAUGGCUUCUAUGCUUGGUGGAAAACUCCAUAUCCCACAAUUCAUAGCACACCUCUGCCGAGUUAAACAAUGGCGGCCACCACUUCGUUUUAUAUGUCUUUUAUUAGUGUUUCUAGGUCACAAAAUAAACUUUUAAGAUAUUUUCAGGCGAGAAUGUAGGUGUGUAAACUUCAAAUAUCUGCUUGUUUUAUCAAGACAUCCCAUAUUAGCGACAAUGCUCUGACGACCUCGGUCCUGCCUGACAGCUAGCCGGCUACCUAGCUAGCUGCCGCACUUGGCUGCAAAUGGACAGCGAGGGGACUCUCUCUCUCCUUUCACCUCCCCGGUCUCUCGCAAAUGCUCGCACAGAAUCGGAGUUACAGCUGGAUGUGGAAAAAAUAACUGAGUUGUUUGGUGGUGCUAUAAUGCGGAGCUACAACAGUGGCCAGCUAUCCACCGGUGUAUGACAGAAAGGACAUGCCGCGACCGCCGAUCGACCGGUGUUUGCUAACGCGGAGGUCAAUCGUGGAUCAGGGAAAGCGAAGGCAGGAGCGUGAGGUGAACUGAAUUUCAGGUAAGAAGUUAUGACCUGCACUCUAUUUGGGUCAGAUAUAAACCGAGUUUAGGUGUAGUUUAUUUAGCAGCAGUUCUCUUAUGUGUUGCUGAUAGCCGGCUAGCUAGCUAGCGCCGCUAGCAUAGUUAGCUCGCGCCGCUAGCGACCCUUCGUGAAAAAGCACCCAGGCUUGGCUUAUAUUGAGGCGGGUGAAACUCGUGUCAGCACCCGGUCGCUCGCCGACAGUAUGUGUUUUAGC
Molecule: long non-coding RNA, 2055 nt
Filed under: Oreochromis niloticus (Nile tilapia)
Lineage: Eukaryota; Metazoa; Chordata; Actinopteri; Cichliformes; Cichlidae
Description: lncRNA (ENSONIG00000031683.1)
Source: RNAcentral